This is a non-coding RNA of Potamilus streckersoni, 77 nucleotides long. The record is from the annotation of a GenBank genome assembly. Lineage: Eukaryota; Metazoa; Mollusca; Bivalvia; Unionida; Unionidae.
GACCACUCCGGUGGCCUAGUGGUAAGAGCGUCCGCCUCGGAUGUGAGAGGUUGCUGGUUCGAAUCCCGUCCGAGUCA